Molecule: long non-coding RNA, 631 nt
Organism: Schistocerca piceifrons (Central American locust)
Lineage: Eukaryota; Metazoa; Arthropoda; Insecta; Orthoptera; Acrididae
Exons: 3
Source: RefSeq, a predicted model, not a curated record
UUGAUUCAACUAAACGCGAGACACAGUUGGAAAGGUUCAAAGUAUGCGGUUCCCGUUUUCUUUGAAAUUUCUGCGUGUCAUAAUUACGGAAGAGCGUGAAAUGUGAAUAUUUCGUUUGUAAAGCUAUAUAGAAAUUCAGAAUGUACCCUGUAAUUUGACAUCACUUACUGAAUUGGGUUGAGCAGCAGUAUGCCCGUACACAUGUGCGGGUGUGUUUGGCCUGGGCAGCAUUGGGCCGAUACUAAAUGACGAGGAGUACCUGCCAUUUUGUGAUGUGGUAUCAGAACCGCCGGAAGGCGCUGAGCGCUGACGGACCUCCCUCGCCGUCUCGUGACGUCAGGAACAUCUCGUUUUCUGGGGUCGCAGCGCGCAGUCAGCGGUCGCGGCACGGGCAGUGGAGAAUGCGUGGACGCCACGCGGCGAUUCAGCCGCUUACAUUUCGUGGUGCUGAAUGGUGACUACUGGAGAGAGAUCGGAAGUGUAAAUUCAAACAGCAUUUGCUGUCCAGACAGCUGUAACGCUGCAUCUGCGGUGGUUACUUGUUGGAGCGUCUUUUCAUACCAUGUUUAUGGACGUAAUCAUUGUGUGCAUGUAAAUUUUCUGUGAUGAAUAAAUAGAACGAAACAGUCAA